This 486-nucleotide ribosomal RNA is filed under the name uncultured bacterium. RNAcentral describes it as "partial 16S ribosomal RNA". It matches the Rfam family "Bacterial small subunit ribosomal RNA", at positions 30 to 507 of the family's 1533-position model. The record is from RNAcentral.
AUUGAACGCUGGCGGCAUGCCUUACACAUGCAAGUCGAACGGAAGCACGGGUGCUUGCCCCUGGUGGCGAGUGGCGAACGGGUGAGUAAUACAUCGGAACAUGUCCUGUAGUGGGGGAUAGCCCGGCGAAAGCCGGGUUAAUACCGCCUACGAUCUACGGAAGCCAGCGGGGUCAAUUCGGGACUCGCGCCUUAGGGUUGGUCGAUGGCUGAUUAGCUCGUUGGUGGGGUAAAGGCCUACCAAGGCGACGAUCAGUAGCUGGUCUGAGAGGACGACCAGCCACACUGGAACUGAGACACGGCCCAGACUCCUACGGGAGGCAGCAGUGGGGAAUUUUGGACAAUGGGCGAAAGCCUGAUCCAGCAAUGCCGCGUGUGUGAAGAAGGCCUUCGGGUUGUAAAGCACCUUUGUCCGGAAAGAAAUCCUUGGCCCGAAAACGGUCGGGGGAUGACGGUACCGAAAGAAUAAGCACCGGCUAACUACGUG